Molecule: ribosomal RNA, 1535 nt
Filed under: Klebsiella quasipneumoniae subsp. quasipneumoniae
Lineage: Bacteria; Pseudomonadati; Pseudomonadota; Gammaproteobacteria; Enterobacterales; Enterobacteriaceae
Description: 16S ribosomal RNA
Rfam family: Bacterial small subunit ribosomal RNA
Source: RNAcentral
UUGAAGAGUUUGAUCAUGGCUCAGAUUGAACGCUGGCGGCAGGCCUAACACAUGCAAGUCGAGCGGUAGCACAGAGAGCUUGCUCUCGGGUGACGAGCGGCGGACGGGUGAGUAAUGUCUGGGAAACUGCCUGAUGGAGGGGGAUAACUACUGGAAACGGUAGCUAAUACCGCAUAAUGUCGCAAGACCAAAGUGGGGGACCUUCGGGCCUCAUGCCAUCAGAUGUGCCCAGAUGGGAUUAGCUAGUAGGUGGGGUAACGGCUCACCUAGGCGACGAUCCCUAGCUGGUCUGAGAGGAUGACCAGCCACACUGGAACUGAGACACGGUCCAGACUCCUACGGGAGGCAGCAGUGGGGAAUAUUGCACAAUGGGCGCAAGCCUGAUGCAGCCAUGCCGCGUGUGUGAAGAAGGCCUUCGGGUUGUAAAGCACUUUCAGCGGGGAGGAAGGCGAUAAGGUUAAUAACCUUGUCGAUUGACGUUACCCGCAGAAGAAGCACCGGCUAACUCCGUGCCAGCAGCCGCGGUAAUACGGAGGGUGCAAGCGUUAAUCGGAAUUACUGGGCGUAAAGCGCACGCAGGCGGUCUGUCAAGUCGGAUGUGAAAUCCCCGGGCUCAACCUGGGAACUGCAUUCGAAACUGGCAGGCUAGAGUCUUGUAGAGGGGGUAGAAUUCCAGGUGUAGCGGUGAAAUGCGUAGAGAUCUGGAGGAAUACCGGUGGCGAAGGCGGCCCCCUGGACAAAGACUGACGCUCAGGUGCGAAAGCGUGGGGAGCAAACAGGAUUAGAUACCCUGGUAGUCCACGCCGUAAACGAUGUCGAUUUGGAGGUUGUGCCCUUGAGGCGUGGCUUCCGGAGCUAACGCGUUAAAUCGACCGCCUGGGGAGUACGGCCGCAAGGUUAAAACUCAAAUGAAUUGACGGGGGCCCGCACAAGCGGUGGAGCAUGUGGUUUAAUUCGAUGCAACGCGAAGAACCUUACCUGGUCUUGACAUCCACAGAACUUAGCAGAGAUGCUUUGGUGCCUUCGGGAACUGUGAGACAGGUGCUGCAUGGCUGUCGUCAGCUCGUGUUGUGAAAUGUUGGGUUAAGUCCCGCAACGAGCGCAACCCUUAUCCUUUGUUGCCAGCGGUUAGGCCGGGAACUCAAAGGAGACUGCCAGUGAUAAACUGGAGGAAGGUGGGGAUGACGUCAAGUCAUCAUGGCCCUUACGACCAGGGCUACACACGUGCUACAAUGGCAUAUACAAAGAGAAGCGACCUCGCGAGAGCAAGCGGACCUCAUAAAGUAUGUCGUAGUCCGGAUUGGAGUCUGCAACUCGACUCCAUGAAGUCGGAAUCGCUAGUAAUCGUAGAUCAGAAUGCUACGGUGAAUACGUUCCCGGGCCUUGUACACACCGCCCGUCACACCAUGGGAGUGGGUUGCAAAAGAAGUAGGUAGCUUAACCUUCGGGAGGGCGCUUACCACUUUGUGAUUCAUGACUGGGGUGAAGUCGUAACAAGGUAACCGUAGGGGAACCUGCGGUUGGAUCACCUCCUU